Neltuma alba is the source of this 260-nucleotide long non-coding RNA. RefSeq lists it as uncharacterized. The record is from RefSeq and is a predicted model, not a curated record. NCBI's taxonomy places the organism in Eukaryota, Viridiplantae, Streptophyta, Magnoliopsida, Fabales, Fabaceae. The transcript has 4 exons.
CAAUCAACACACCGCAAGAUCAAAAAAAUCAAAAAUUAUAUUAACCUAACCCCGAGGGGUUAGGUCAGCUGGCUGGGGCUGUCCUAGCUUAACCACAGGUCUCGAGUUCGAGCUGUGGGAAUGCAGCACCCUGAGGGGCCAGAGGGCGCCGACCGAAAGGUUCCUUGCAAGCCCUCGUUCCGGAUUAGUCUGGGGACGUUGUCACGGCUGAAAGACGCCUAUUUCCCUAGGAUACCGGAGGAGAAAUCCAAAAAAAAAAA